GGUUUAGUAGUCAAGUGGUAAGACAUAGCUCUUUCAAUGCUACCCUCGCAGGUUCGCUCCCCGUCUAGUCUA
Molecule: transfer RNA, 72 nt
Filed under: Akanthomyces muscarius
Lineage: Eukaryota; Fungi; Ascomycota; Sordariomycetes; Hypocreales; Cordycipitaceae
Description: tRNA-Glu
Rfam family: tRNA
About the family: Transfer RNA (tRNA) molecules are approximately 80 nucleotides in length. Their secondary structure includes four short double-helical elements and three loops (D, anti-codon, and T loops).
Source: RNAcentral